AUCAUUUAUAUUUUUCUUUUUGCUUCUUAUUCUUUUUAUUUCAUCCUCUUUUAUGGGGAUAUGUGUGGAAGGAGAGGACCUAAGGGAGAUCAGAGGGGUUUGUUAGGUUUCGAUUGGGGUUUCUCUGAAGCAUAUGGGAUUUUGUGUGAGUCAAUCGCUAUGGAGGUUUCUCGUUUAUCCCAUUAUUUUGUCUUACAAAAUGAUGUAAUCCUUAGUUUGACC
RNAcentral lists this long non-coding RNA (222 nucleotides) under Elaeis guineensis (African oil palm). RNAcentral's name for it is "long non-coding RNA (EGUI_LNC009540)". The record is from RNAcentral. Lineage: Eukaryota; Viridiplantae; Streptophyta; Magnoliopsida; Arecales; Arecaceae.